AGCCUUAAUAGAUGCAAUGUCACCAACAUACCAUGCACACAAACACAUCGGACUAAUGUCACAUGGUUGAACAAAUGUCAGGGGUGCAGUACUAUUCUAUACAGGCUGCUGGGAGAAAUAAGCCAGAUUGAGAACCAAAAAUGAAAGAUAAAUCGACACAACUACAGUCAUACUGCAAGUAUUAUUGAUUUAUCCCGCCACAGACACUAUAGAGGAAAGUACACAAAAAAAAUAAACAAAAAGCGAUUAGAUUAUUUUCCAAAUAUUCCCAAAAUUUGUUUUCAUACAUCGCUAUCUUUCAUCAUCAUCAGCUCCCUUGAUAGUAACAUCAGACUGUGUCACCCCUGUUUGUUUAUUUGUUUCUGGCUGGUCUACCCCGAUUCCUAAUUUUUAAUAUCCCUUUUAUGUCUCUUAUACGGAUAGAAUUUUCUCAACUCCCAUAAUUCGAAUAAGUCAAAACGAGUUUACGCGCUUAACCAACGGUAAACGAGCUCUGUAAAUAACGAGGUUGGCUGAUAUAAAAAGAAAACCCUCCAUUGAACAAAUUCAUUUAAAGCGUUUGUGAACUUUUACUACAAUUCAAUUAUUACACGAGCAGACGAGGGAAGAUCGCAUUGACCAAUUAAAAGCUGCAGCUCGGACAUGAUGAAAUGAAAGUGGACAAAAAACUUAAUUUGUUGCUUUUAAUUGCAAUGAUUACUUCUUGCUCGCAGCAGGACCCUCGAACUAACGACAGAGAUUUGGCUGAUUCUGAAAUCCAGCGCAGAUUUGAUCAGAUGCCCUUCUCAUACCAGCAGUUUGAAGAGUGCUUGAAUGGCAAUAACAACCAAAUUUCUGAUAUCUGCAGUCAAAGCAGAAAGCUACAGAAGCAGCUGAUGUUCGAAGUGUACUCCCAAAAUAUGAUGCUGGAAAAUCAAAAAACUGACAAUAGUUUAUAAAAACUAUGAACCAACCAUUUAAAAUACUUUUGCUUUGGGUUAAGAAUGUAUUUUGAAAAUGUUU
Long non-coding RNA from Symsagittifera roscoffensis, 1002 nucleotides. RefSeq lists it as uncharacterized. The record is from RefSeq and is a predicted model, not a curated record. Lineage: Eukaryota; Metazoa; Xenacoelomorpha; Acoela; Convolutidae. The transcript is spliced from 4 exons.